UACGUAGGGCGCAAGCGUUGUCCGGAAUUACUGGGCGUAAAGAGCUCGUAGGUGGUUUGUCGCGUUGUUCGUGAAAACCGGGGGCUUAACCCUCGGCGUGCGGGCGAUACGGGCAGACUUGAGUACUGCAGGGGAGACUGGAAUUCCUGGUGUAGCGGUGGAAUGCGCAGAUAUCAGGAGGAACACCGGUGGCGAAGGCGGGUCUCUGGGCAGUAACUGACGCUGAGGAGCGAAAGCGUGGGGAGCGAACAGG
This 253-nucleotide ribosomal RNA is filed under the name uncultured bacterium. RNAcentral describes it as "partial 16S ribosomal RNA". It matches the Rfam family "Bacterial small subunit ribosomal RNA", at positions 524 to 776 of the family's 1533-position model. The record is from RNAcentral.